GGUUAAGCGACUAAGCGUACACGGUGGAUGCCCUGGCAGUCAGAGGCGAUGAAGGACGUGCUAAUCUGCGAUAAGCGUCGGUAAGGUGAUAUGAACCGUUAUAACCGGCGAUUUCCGAAUGGGGAAACCCAGUGUGUUUCGACACACUAUCAUUAACUGAAUCCAUAGGUUAAUGAGGCGAACCGGGGGAACUGAAACAUCUAAGUACCCCGAGGAAAAGAAAUCAACCGAGAUUCCCCCAGUAGCGGCGAGCGAACGGGGAGCAGCCCAGAGCCUGAAUCAGUGUGUGUGUUAGUGGAAGCGUCUGGAAAGGCGCGCGAUACAGGGUGACAGCCCCGUACACAAAAAUGCACAUGCUGUGAGCUCGAUGAGUAGGGCGGGACACGUGGUAUCCUGUCUGAAUAUGGGGGGACCAUCCUCCAAGGCUAAAUACUCCUGACUGACCGAUAGUGAACCAGUACCGUGAGGGAAAGGCGAAAAGAACCCCGGCGAGGGGAGUGAAAAAGAACCUGAAACCGUGUACGUACAAGCAGUGGGAGCACGCUUAGGCGUGUGACUGCGUACCUUUUGUAUAAUGGGUCAGCGACUUAUAUUCUGUAGCAAGGUUAACCGAAUAGGGGAGCCGAAGGGAAACCGAGUCUUAACUGGGCGUUAAGUUGCAGGGUAUAGACCCGAAACCCGGUGAUCUAGCCAUGGGCAGGUUGAAGGUUGGGUAACACUAACUGGAGGACCGAACCGACUAAUGUUGAAAAAUUAGCGGAUGACUUGUGGCUGGGGGUGAAAGGCCAAUCAAACCGGGAGAUAGCUGGUUCUCCCCGAAAGCUAUUUAGGUAGCGCCUCGUGAAUUCAUCUCCGGGGUAGAGCACUGUUUCGGCAAGGGGGUCAUCCCGACUUACCAACCCGAUGCAAACUGCGAAUACCGGAGAAUGUUAUCACGGGAGACACACGGCGGGUGCUAACGUCCGUCGUGAAGAGGGAAACAACCCAGACCGCCAGCUAAGGUCCCAAAGUCAUGGUUAAGUGGGAAACGAUGUGGGAAGGCCCAGACAGCCAGGAUGUUGGCUUAGAAGCAGCCAUCAUUUAAAGAAAGCGUAAUAGCUCACUGGUCGAGUCGGCCUGCGCGGAAGAUGUAACGGGGCUAAACCAUGCACCGAAGCUGCGGCAGCGACACUAUGUGUUGUUGGGUAGGGGAGCGUUCUGUAAGCCUGUGAAGGUGUGCUGUGAGGCAUGCUGGAGGUAUCAGAAGUGCGAAUGCUGACAUAAGUAACGAUAAAGCGGGUGAAAAGCCCGCUCGCCGGAAGACCAAGGGUUCCUGUCCAACGUUAAUCGGGGCAGGGUGAGUCGACCCCUAAGGCGAGGCCGAAAGGCGUAGUCGAUGGGAAACAGGUUAAUAUUCCUGUACUUGGUGUUACUGCGAAGGGGGACGGAGAAGGCUAUGUUGGCCGGGCGACGGUUGUCCCGGUUUAAGCGUGUAGGCUGGUUUUCCAGGCAAAUCCGGAAAAUCAAGGCUGAGGCGUGAUGACGAGGCACUACGGUGCUGAAGCAACAAAUGCCCUGCUUCCAGGAAAAGCCUCUAAGCAUCAGGUAACAUCAAAUCGUACCCCAAACCGACACAGGUGGUCAGGUAGAGAAUACCAAGGCGCUUGAGAGAACUCGGGUGAAGGAACUAGGCAAAAUGGUGCCGUAACUUCGGGAGAAGGCACGCUGAUAUGUAGGUGAAGUCCCUCGCGGAUGGAGCUGAAAUCAGUCGAAGAUACCAGCUGGCUGCAACUGUUUAUUAAAAACACAGCACUGUGCAAACACGAAAGUGGACGUAUACGGUGUGACGCCUGCCCGGUGCCGGAAGGUUAAUUGAUGGGGUUAGCCGCAAGGCGAAGCUCUUGAUCGAAGCCCCGGUAAACGGCGGCCGUAACUAUAACGGUCCUAAGGUAGCGAAAUUCCUUGUCGGGUAAGUUCCGACCUGCACGAAUGGCGUAAUGAUGGCCAGGCUGUCUCCACCCGAGACUCAGUGAAAUUGAACUCGCUGUGAAGAUGCAGUGUACCCGCGGCAAGACGGAAAGACCCCGUGAACCUUUACUAUAGCUUGACACUGAACAUUGAGCCUUGAUGUGUAGGAUAGGUGGGAGGCUUAGAAGUGUGGACGCCAGUCUGCAUGGAGCCGACCUUGAAAUACCACCCUUUAAUGUUUGAUGUUCUAACGUUGACCCGUAAUCCGGGUUGCGGACAGUGUCUGGUGGGUAGUUUGACUGGGGCGGUCUCCUCCUAAAGAGUAACGGAGGAGCACGAAGGUUGGCUAAUCCUGGUCGGACAUCAGGAGGUUAGUGCAAUGGCAUAAGCCAGCUUGACUGCGAGCGUGACGGCGCGAGCAGGUGCGAAAGCAGGUCAUAGUGAUCCGGUGGUUCUGAAUGGAAGGGCCAUCGCUCAACGGAUAAAAGGUACUCCGGGGAUAACAGGCUGAUACCGCCCAAGAGUUCAUAUCGACGGCGGUGUUUGGCACCUCGAUGUCGGCUCAUCACAUCCUGGGGCUGAAGUAGGUCCCAAGGGUAUGGCUGUUCGCCAUUUAAAGUGGUACGCGAGCUGGGUUUAGAACGUCGUGAGACAGUUCGGUCCCUAUCUGCCGUGGGCGCUGGAGAACUGAGGGGGGCUGCUCCUAGUACGAGAGGACCGGAGUGGACGCAUCACUGGUGUUCGGGUUGUCAUGCCAAUGGCACUGCCCGGUAGCUAAAUGCGGAAGAGAUAAGUGCUGAAAGCAUCUAAGCACGAAACUUGCCCCGAGAUGAGUUCUCCCUGACCCUUUAAGGGUCCUGAAGGAACGUUGAAGACGACGACGUUGAUAGGCCGGGUGUGUAAGCGCAGCGAUGCGUUGAGCUAACCGGUACUAAUGAACCGUGAGGCUUAACCUU
RNAcentral lists this ribosomal RNA (2903 nucleotides) under Escherichia coli. RNAcentral's name for it is "23S ribosomal RNA". It matches the Rfam family "Bacterial large subunit ribosomal RNA". Lineage: Bacteria; Pseudomonadati; Pseudomonadota; Gammaproteobacteria; Enterobacterales; Enterobacteriaceae. The record is from RNAcentral.